AAAGUUUCACACCACUGUCGCAUCAUUUUUAUGGAAAUUAGAAAACGAUGCCUUCGUAGACGUUCAAAUGUUAUAAAAAUAGUUAAAUAAGUAACACAGUUUAACUCAAUAGUACAUCAUAGCAUAAAAUUAUUCGUAGCUUUGCUAUAAAUAGUCGUAAUAAUGAGUGCCGGAGAACCGUUCAUUAGGAUGCCGAUUUUGGGUGAGCAGUGGUGUAAAUCUGAUAAAUAUCUACAUCAUAAAAACGAUCCAAGGCUUGACAUAAAUUCACUGACAGAAGAAAAGUUUGAUACAGCGAUAAAAACCUUACUUAAUGACAACAGAUAUCGGAAAAAUAUUGUAACGUUGCGUAAAUUGAUGUUCCAGCGAACACAAAAACCUCCUGACCGCGCUCUAUGGUGGUCUGAAAGUGUGAUUCGUAACGGCGGCGCACGCCAUCUAGCGUCGUCCAGUGCUAAUGUCUUUGGCGCUCAAUACCUACAAUCUCAGCCAGUAUUUGUUUCACUUACUGCACUUUUUGCUCUUAUUGUCCUUUAUAUAGUUUGUGCUGUAGUUAAAAUGAAAAAAAAUUAAGUACCAGUUGUAAUUUUUAGAAAUGAAAUUUCGAUGUAUAUCUUUGG
Papilio polytes (common Mormon) is the source of this 620-nucleotide long non-coding RNA. RefSeq lists it as uncharacterized. Lineage: Eukaryota; Metazoa; Arthropoda; Insecta; Lepidoptera; Papilionidae. The transcript is spliced from 3 exons. The record is from RefSeq and is a predicted model, not a curated record.